This 497-nucleotide ribosomal RNA is filed under the name uncultured bacterium. RNAcentral describes it as "partial 16S ribosomal RNA". It matches the Rfam family "Bacterial small subunit ribosomal RNA", at positions 28 to 507 of the family's 1533-position model. The record is from RNAcentral.
GAUGAACGCUGGCGGCGUGCCUAAUACAUGCAAGUCGAGCGAACAGAUGAGGAGCUUGCUCCUCUGACGUUAGCGGCGGACGGGUGAGUAACACGUGGAUAACCUACCUAUAAGACUGGGAUAACUUCGGGAAACCGGAGCUAAUACCGGAUAAUAUAUUGAACCGCAUGGUUCAAUAGUGAAAGACGGUUUUGCUGUCACUUAUAGAUGGAUCCGCGCCGCAUUAGCUAGUUGGUAAGGUAACGGCUUACCAAGGCAACGAUGCGUAGCCGACCUGAGAGGGUGACCGGCCACACUGGAACUGAGACACGGUCCAGACUCCUACGGGAGGCAGCAGUAGGGAAUCUUCCGCAAUGGGCGAAAGCCUGACGGAGCAACGCCGCGUGAGUGAUGAAGGUCUUCGGAUCGUAAAACUCUGUUAGUAGGGAAGAACAAAUGUGUAAGUAACUAUGCACGUCUUGACGGUACCUAAUCAGAAAGCCACGGCUAACUACGUG